GACAGAGGUGCCGAGCGUUAUGCGGAAUCACUGGGCUUAAAGCGUGUGUAGGCGGAUCGUUAAGUACCUUGUGAAAUCCCACGGCUUAACCGUGGAACUGCUUGGUAUACUGGCGAUCUUGAGCCACCUAGGGGCAACCGGAACAAAUGGUGGAGCGGUGAAAUGCGUAGAUAUCAUUUGGAACGCCAAUGGUGAAAACAGGUUGCUGGGGGUGUGCUGACGCUGAGACACGAAAGCCAGGGGAGCGAACGGG
This 253-nucleotide ribosomal RNA is filed under the name uncultured bacterium. Its description in RNAcentral is "partial 16S ribosomal RNA". It matches the Rfam family "Bacterial small subunit ribosomal RNA", at positions 524 to 776 of the family's 1533-position model. The record is from RNAcentral.